Molecule: ribosomal RNA, 253 nt
Filed under: uncultured bacterium
Lineage: Bacteria
Description: partial 16S ribosomal RNA
Rfam family: Bacterial small subunit ribosomal RNA
Source: RNAcentral
UACAGAGGGUGCAAGCGUUAAUCGGAAUUACUGGGCGUAAAGGGUGUGUAGGUGGUUAAUUAAGUUGUAUGUGAAAACCCUGGGCUUAACCUAGGAAUUGCAUAUAAAACUGAUUAGCUAGAGUGCGGUAGAGGGAAGUGGAAUUUCCGGUGUAGCGGUGAAAUGCGUAGAUAUCGGGAGGAACACCGGUGGCGAAGGCGGCGACCUGGGUAGAUACUGACGCUGAGGCGCGAAAGCGUGGGGAGCAAACAGG